UGGGGAAUAUUGCACAAUGGGCGCAAGCCUGAUGCAGCCAUGCCGCGUGUAUGAAGAAGGCCUUCGGGUUGUAAAGUACUUUCAGCGAGGAGGAAGGCGUUGUGGUUAAUAACCGCAACGAUUGACGUUACUCGCAGAAGAAGCACCGGCUAACUCCGUGCCAGCAGCCGCGGUAAUACGGAGGGUGCAAGCGUUAAUCGGAAUUACUGGGCGUAAAGCGCACGCAGGCGGGCUGUCAAGUCGGAUGUGAAAUCCCCGGGCUCAACCUGGGAACUGCAUCCGAAACUGGCAGGCUAGAGUCUUGUAGAGGGGGGUAGAAUUCCAGGUGUAGCGGUGAAAUGCGUAGAGAUCUGGAGGAAUACCGGUGGCGAAGGCGGCCCCCUGGACAAAGACUGACGCUCAGGUGCGAAAGCGUGGGGAGCAAACA
This 427-nucleotide ribosomal RNA is filed under the name uncultured bacterium. RNAcentral describes it as "partial 16S ribosomal RNA". It matches the Rfam family "Bacterial small subunit ribosomal RNA", at positions 355 to 774 of the family's 1533-position model. The record is from RNAcentral.